RNAcentral lists this long non-coding RNA (256 nucleotides) under Lynx canadensis (Canada lynx). Its description in RNAcentral is "lncRNA (ENSLCNG00005001984.1)". The record is from RNAcentral. Lineage: Eukaryota; Metazoa; Chordata; Mammalia; Carnivora; Felidae.
AACAGAACGGGACUGGUGUGAGCCAGGCACAGUCCUAACACACCGGUUUUUUCCUUUUCUCGGCCAUCACUGGUGAGCGCAGGUCUGACUCGGGCCAGGUUUCAGUUGCUCGCUCUGAGCUGUCAGUGGUGGUAAAGCCUACAGGCCGCUUCCGGAGGCCUGCUGCCGGCCCUGGUCGUCCGCUCUGCCAUCACGCCCCCACUCUGGAUUUCCAGUUCUACAGCCAUGAAAUAAGAGCUGAGCCUGGGCCCAUCUC